Molecule: ribosomal RNA, 402 nt
Filed under: uncultured bacterium
Lineage: Bacteria
Description: bacterial SSU rRNA
Rfam family: Bacterial small subunit ribosomal RNA
Source: RNAcentral
UGGGGAAUAUUGCACAAUGGGCGAAAGCCUGAUGCAGCAACGCCGCGUGAGUGAUGAAGGCCUUCGGGUUGUAAAGCUCUGUCUUCUGGGACGAUAAUGACGGUACCAGAGGAGGAAGCCACGGCUAACUACGUGCCAGCAGCCGCGGUAAUACGUAGGUGGCAAGCGUUGUCCGGAUUUACUGGGCGAAAAGGAUGCGUAGGCGGAUACUUAAGUCAGAUGUGAAAAUCCCGGGCUUAACUUGGGAACUGCAUUCGAAACUGGGUAUCUAGAGUGCGGGAGAGGAAAGUGGAAUUCCUGGUGUAGCGGUGAAAUGCGUAGAGAUUAGGAAGAACACCAGUGGCGAAGGCGACUUUCUGGACCGUAACUGACGCUGAGGCAUGAAAGCGUGGGGAGCAAACA